CAGACACAAAGUUCUUGAGAUGUGCGAGUUCCAGAGCUCUCCACACCUCCUCAUCAGUGUAGCCAUCAAAGGGAUCCAGAUUCAUACGCAAGGAUCCUGAGAACAGCAAUGGAUCCUAUGGCAAAAAGAUCUUUCCUUUUGCUGCCUCAAGGAUCCGGAAGAUUCCGAGAGCAAGAGAUGACUUUCCAGCCCCUGUUCUUCCCACAAUUCCAACCUGAGAGGAUUCAGAGAACAUCUUAGUACCUAGCCCAAUCAAGACCCCUGCGGUACUGAAGUCCAUAUUCCUGGAAUUCAAUGGAGCCAGUUUUGGGCCAGCCGAAUGGGAGUGGGGUGUCCUCUAAUGUCCAGGGAGCCUGUGCACAGCCAAAGGCAGAAUAAGUAGGAUCUCUAGGUCUGGCAGGAGAGCACAGGCCUCCAACACUUUCUUAUACCAGAUGUCUUUCUUUUCCCAUCCAAACAAAAUGUUGUCUUUGAGAGUGGCAUUCUGGAUCCAGGCCUGCUGAGGCACAUAAGCCACAGAGCCCUGCAAGAAAGUCAUUGCAGACAGAAGAGAAGAUUUUCCACUGCCCACAUGACCUACCACAGCCACCAGUGUACCGUGCUGCACUUUCACAUUGAUCCUGAAGAAAGACAUCAGCCAUUGCCAGAUUACCAUCUUCAUAUGUUUAGGAAUAAUGGAAUCUAAAAAGAUCUUUCAGCUGAUGUUUUAACUGUUAAUAUGAGUGAUAAAAGACAUUAAAAGGCACCCACCUCCUAAGGAAUGGUGGGCCAUCUCUAGACCAGCUGAAAGUACCAUUGUCAAUAAUGACACCAUCUACAUCUGAGAAAAAUAAAAUGCAUUGAAAGCAUCAAUCAUUCACCUGCCAAAGAAAGAAAAGACACAAGGCGAUUUCAAUCGGAGCAACCCACAAUGCAUUGAAGUAC
This is a long non-coding RNA of Myxocyprinus asiaticus (Chinese sucker), 924 nucleotides long. RefSeq lists it as uncharacterized. The record is from RefSeq and is a predicted model, not a curated record. The transcript has 6 exons. Lineage: Eukaryota; Metazoa; Chordata; Actinopteri; Cypriniformes; Catostomidae.